CGCAAGGUUGAAACUCAAAGGAAUUGACGGGGGCCCGCACAAGCGGUGGAGCAUGUGGUUCAAUUCGACGCAACGCGAAGAACCUUACCAGGGCUUGACAUCCCACGAACCUUCCCGAAAGGGUUGGGUGCCCGCAAGGGAGCGUGGAGACAGGUGGUGCAUGGCUGUCGUCAGCUCGUGUCGUGAGAUGUUGGGUUAAGUCCCGCAACGAGCGCAACCCUCACCCCUUGUUGCCACCGGGUAAAGCCGAGCACUCUAGGGGAACUGCUAGCGUCAAGCUGGAGGAAGGCGGGGAUGACGUCAAGUCAUCAUGCCCCUUACGCCCUGGGCCACACACGUGCUACAAUGGGGCCGACAAAGAGACGCAAAGCCGCGAGGUAGAGCAAAACUCAAAAACGGCCUCUAAGUUCAGAUUGCAGUCUGCAACUCGACUGCAUGAAGGAGGAAUCGCUAGUAAUCGCGCAUCAGCACGGCGCGGUGAAUACGUUCCCGGGCCUUGUACACACCGCCCGUCACACCACGAAAGCCGGCUGUACUCGAAGUCGCUGAGCCAACCCGCAAGGGAGGCAGGCGCCCAAGGUAUGGUCGGUGAUUGGGGUG
RNAcentral lists this ribosomal RNA (600 nucleotides) under uncultured bacterium. RNAcentral describes it as "bacterial SSU rRNA". It matches the Rfam family "Bacterial small subunit ribosomal RNA", at positions 887 to 1482 of the family's 1533-position model. The record is from RNAcentral.